GGGACAUCCCUAGGGCUAGAGCACUGGACAAUGGAUUGGCAAGGACGCCUACCAUGGGCUGGCUGCACUGGGAGCGCUUCAUGUGCAACCUUGACUGCCAGGAAGAGCCAGAUUCCUGCAUCAGUGAGAAGCUCUUCAUGGAGAUGGCAGAGCUCAUGGUCUCAGAAGGCUGGAAGGAUGCAGGUUAUGAGUACCUCUGCAUUGAUGACUGUUGGAUGGCUCCCCAAAGAGAUUCAGAAGGCAGACUUCAGGCAGACCCUCAGCGCUUUCCUCAUGGGAUUCGCCAGCUAGCUAAUUAUGUUCACAACAAAGGACUGAAGCUAGGGAUUUAUGCAGAUGUUGGAAAUAAAACCUGCGCAGGCUUCCCUGGGAGUUUUGGAUACUACGACAUUGAUGCCCAGACCUUUGCUGACUGGGGAGUAGAUCUGCUAAAAUUUGAUGGUUGUUACUGUGACAGUUUGGAAAAUUUGGCAGAUGGGGAGUCCAGGUUGUCAAUCGGUCACAGAGAAAGAAGCAUCUUCAUUCCUGCCUUUCCUCAAUAUACACACCAUCUCUGCACUACUUCCUCAGAACAAUCCCAGCAGUCUGGGAGGUUAUAAGCACAUGUCCUUGGCCCUGAAUAGGACUGGCAGAAGCAUUGUGUACUCCUGUGAGUGGCCUCUUUAUAUGUGGCCCUUUCAAAAGCCCAAUUAUACAGAAAUCCGACAGUACUGCAAUCACUGG
Molecule: small RNA, 723 nt
Filed under: Pongo abelii (Sumatran orangutan)
Lineage: Eukaryota; Metazoa; Chordata; Mammalia; Primates; Hominidae
Description: processed transcript
Source: RNAcentral